CCAACAUAUUUAGAAGCGUUUCCAACAUAUUUAGAAAUAUUUGACUAUUAUGACUGAGUGGUAAAAUGUGUUGGUGUUGCUUUUCAAAGAUUCAGUUUAGAAGGCGGAAUGACUAAAACAAAUUAUUGCAGUUAAUGUCUUGAAAUGGCGCUAGGUGGUGUCGCAGUUUUGCGAAACGUUUAGCGGUGGCGCUAGCCACUACUCCGUUUCAAGCAAACGGCGCGACUUUUGAAGCGGUUGGUUCAGUCGAGCAGUUGCGUGCGGAGAGCCGUUCUUCAUUCUAUGGGAGAGCCAUGCCGCGAAACGUCACAGCUUGCGCUCCCGUCAAGGGACCGCGUUUUUCUGAGGGCCAGCGGGAGACGGUGCUCGCUUUUAUGGAGCAGCAUCCCAAGUUGGCUUUAAGAUCCAGCGAGCUAGGGCCGGGCUUCACCGCUGGCGACCGGCGACGGCUGUGGCAGCAGCUGGUCGACGGGCUGGGAGGAAGGGCCGGUAGUGAAAACAGUGGACCAAUGGCAGGAGUGGUAGCGCAAGCAGGUCUACGAGGCCCGCCGCGACGCUACCGCAAUUGCCCAAGAGCAAAGGUGAGCGACCGUCGAAUGGUCUGGGCGAUUUGUCCUUAGACAUUGGUGUGUAUUUUCAGCAGCACUGGAGGGGGCCGCUUACCCGGCUUCUGCGGCCGAGUACUGCACUUGACGGGGGACGGUCCGCUUGCGUGGCGUCCCCGACCUCCCCUACCAAGAGCAGGCUGACGUUCCCACUGCCACCAUGGAGGUCGUCGUCGAGGCUAUGGACGUGAGGAGCGCAGUGACACCGGCAGAGGAUCCACCGGGCGGCGCAUCGGACACGGAAAGGGUGGCCGCUGAACCUGGUAAGUUAUUGAUCCUCAAGCUGUUAGAGAAAAUAAACUCUCGUAUUUAAUUAAACUAGCCCAAUAAUAACAUGGCCAUAGCCACUUUUAUGCAUACCAUAAAAUGCAGUGUAACUGUAGAAAAUGGUGCAUGCUUUCAGUGUUGCAGCGUCCUGUACGGCCACCACGUCGACAGCGACAGCGACGGGUGGACACCCUUACCACGAUGUCGUCGCAGUGCACCCGCAACCUCGAACAGGGCGACUAGAUG
Long non-coding RNA from Dermacentor silvarum, 1118 nucleotides. RefSeq lists it as uncharacterized. The record is from RefSeq and is a predicted model, not a curated record. NCBI's taxonomy places the organism in Eukaryota, Metazoa, Arthropoda, Arachnida, Ixodida, Ixodidae. The transcript has 3 exons.